CGCGCUCUGGUCGGCGCCCUCUAGUCGAGCGCCUUCCUGGUCGGCAUCCUUUGGCCGAGCGGCUUUCCGGUCGGCACUCCUUGGCCGAGCGGCUUUCCGGUCGGCACUCCUUGGCCGAGCGGCUUUCCGGUCGGCACUCCUUGGCCGAGCAGCUUUCUGGUCGGCGCUCUUCGGCCGAGCGGCUUUCCGGUCGGUGUACUUCGGCCGAGCGCCUCCGUGGAUGUAUGACUUAGGGUUUUUCCCCUAACACUACCCCCCGACUUCCGAGUCCGAGCUGCUUUUUGGUUCGGGCGAAGGAAGUAGUUCAGUCAUCGAUCGUCCUGGUGCUGUGAGCGUUCUUACACCAAGGCGACUGAAGACGCUUUUUCUGCUCGGAGUCCGUCGGCAGAGAAGAAUCCAAGUAAAGAUAAAUGAGAAUGUAAAGACAUUAAAUGAAUGGGUACCUUGUACCGUGUGCGUCCUUGCGCCGAGGCGACUGAAGACGCUUCUCUGCUCGGACUCCGUUCUUUGGGGACGUCGGCAGAGAAAAGUCCAAGAAUAAAAUAAUGUAAAGACAUUAAAUGAAUGGGUACCUUGUACCAUGUGCGUCCUU
This 592-nucleotide long non-coding RNA is filed under the name Phoenix dactylifera (date palm). RNAcentral's name for it is "long non-coding RNA (PDAC_LNC020793)". Lineage: Eukaryota; Viridiplantae; Streptophyta; Magnoliopsida; Arecales; Arecaceae. The record is from RNAcentral.